RNAcentral lists this ribosomal RNA (646 nucleotides) under uncultured bacterium. RNAcentral's name for it is "bacterial SSU rRNA". It matches the Rfam family "Bacterial small subunit ribosomal RNA", at positions 8 to 656 of the family's 1533-position model. The record is from RNAcentral.
AGAGUUUGAUCUUGGCUCAGAUUGAACGCUGGCGGCAUGCCUAACACAUGCAAGUCGAACGGAGAUAGGGGCAACCUUAUUUCAGUGGCGGACGGGUGAGGAAUGCGUCGGAAUCUGCCCUAUGGUGGGGGAUAACACAGGGAAACUUGUGCUAAUACCGCAUAAUGUCGAGAGACCAAAGCAGGGGACCGCAAGGCCUUGCGCGAUAGGAUGAGCCGACGCCCGAUUAGCUUGUUGGUAGGGUAAUGGCCUACCAAGGCGACGAUCGGUAGCUGGUCUGAGAGGAUGAUCAGCCACACUGGGACUGAGACACGGCCCAGACUCCUACGGGAGGCAGCAGUGGGGAAUAUUGGACAAUGGGCGCAAGCCUGAUCCAGCAAUGCCGCGUGUGUGAAGAAGGCCUGCGGGUUGUAAAGCACUUUUGUUCGGGAAGAAAUCAUGUCGGUUAAUACCCGAUGUGGAUGACGGUACCGAAAGAAUAAGCACCGGCUAACUUCGUGCCAGCAGCCGCGGUAAUACGAAGGGUGCAAGCGUUAAUCGGAAUUACUGGGCGUAAAGCGUGCGUAGGCGGCUUUUUAAGUCGGAUGUGAAAGCCCCGGGCUCAACUGGGAAUGGCAUCGAUACUGGAAGCUAGAUUUGGGAGAGU